This 774-nucleotide ribosomal RNA is filed under the name uncultured Neocallimastigales. Its description in RNAcentral is "partial large subunit ribosomal RNA". It matches the Rfam family "Eukaryotic large subunit ribosomal RNA", at positions 23 to 645 of the family's 3401-position model. The record is from RNAcentral. Lineage: Eukaryota; Fungi; Neocallimastigomycota; Neocallimastigomycetes; Neocallimastigales.
AGAGAGAGACAUGCGCGCAUAUCAAUAAGCGGAGGAAAAGAAACUAACAAGGAUUCCCCUAGUAACGGCGAGUGAAGCGGGAAGAGCUCAAAUUUGAAAUCUUAAAGGGUUUCCCUUUACGAAUUGUAGUUUAAAGAAGUGUUUUCUGUUGGAGGUUUUGGUAAAAGUUCUUUGGAAUAGGACAUCAUAGAGGGUGAGAAUCCCGUAUUUGACCAUUAUUUCCAGCUUUGUGAUACACUUUCAAAGAGUCGGAUUGUUUGGGAAUGCAGUCCAAAAUGGGUGGUAAAUUUCAUCUAAAGCUAAAUACUGGCGAGAGACCGAUAGCGAACAAGUACCGUGAGGGAAAGAUGAAAAGAACUUUGAAAAGAGAGUUAAACAGUACGUGAAAUUGUCAAAAGGGAAGCGUUUGACACCAGUGUUGUUUUCUCGAAAAUCAAUUAAAAAAGGCAGGAUUUUGUGUUGUAUUGACUUUAUCAGCUUUCUGCACUCUUUUCUUGUCUUUUUUAAUGCACUUUUCGUUUAACAAGUCAACAUCAAUUUCUUUUGUUGUAAAAGGGUCAUUGGAAGGUGGCUUUCUUUUCGGAGAAAGUGUUUAUAGCCUUUGGCCUCUGCAAUCGGAGAGAUUGAGGUCUGCAGCGUAGAUCCUUCGGGGUUAAUGACAUUUGUGCUAAGUUAUAGCCUUUCAUAGACAACUUGUUGACUAUGAUCAGUCAUGUAGCUUACUCGCUUAUGCUAUUUUACCUACGCUUAGGAUGUUGAUGUGAUACUGCGAGC